RNAcentral lists this transfer RNA (74 nucleotides) under Caudoviricetes sp. Its description in RNAcentral is "tRNA-Pro". It matches the Rfam family "tRNA". Rfam says of the family: Transfer RNA (tRNA) molecules are approximately 80 nucleotides in length. Their secondary structure includes four short double-helical elements and three loops (D, anti-codon, and T loops). The record is from RNAcentral. Lineage: Duplodnaviria; Heunggongvirae; Uroviricota; Caudoviricetes.
CGAGAUGUAAUUCAGAUUGGUAGAAUGCUUGGUUUGGGACCAAGAUGUCGCAGGUUCGAGUCCUGUCAUCUCGA